This is a non-coding RNA of Arachis ipaensis, 209 nucleotides long. Lineage: Eukaryota; Viridiplantae; Streptophyta; Magnoliopsida; Fabales; Fabaceae. The record is from RefSeq and is a predicted model, not a curated record.
UAAGUUAUCUAUGCACUUUCAGGUUGAGUUGACUGAAAGUCCUGAUGGGCCACUUGUAGCGUUGGCAUUUAAGUUGGAGGAAGGGCAGUUUGGCCAGUUGACAUAUUUAAGAAUUUACGAGGGUGUGAUCCGCAAGGGCGAGUUUAUUAUUAAUGUAAACACCGGCAAGAAGAUCAAGGUAAACUCUAAGGUUUUUGUGAUUGUGUUAU